Molecule: ribosomal RNA, 461 nt
Filed under: uncultured bacterium
Lineage: Bacteria
Description: partial 16S ribosomal RNA
Rfam family: Bacterial small subunit ribosomal RNA
Source: RNAcentral
CCUACGGGGGGCAGCAGUGAGGAAUAUUGGUCAAUGGACGAGAGUCUGAACCAGCCAAGUAGCGUGAAGGAUGACUGCCCUAUGGGUUGUAAACUUCUUUUGUGCGGGAGCAAUACUGGUCACGUGUGGCCAGACGAGAGUACCGUACGAAUAAGCAUCGGCUAACUCCGUGCCAGCAGCCGCGGUAAUACGGGGGAUGCAAGCGUUAUCCGGAUUUAUUGGGUUUAAAGGGUGCGUAGGCUGUGAGGUAAGUCAGCGGUGAAAUGCCCCCGCUCAACGGGGUGAAGGGCCAUUGAUACUGCCUGGCUGGAAUGCGGAUGCCGUGGGAGGAAUGUGUGGUGUAGCGGUGAAAUGCAUAGAUAUCACACAGAACACCGAUUGCGAAGGCAUCUCACGAAGCCGCGAUUGACGCUGAUGCACGAAAGCGUGGGUAUCAAACAGGAUUAGAUACCCUUGUAGUC